GACGGGUGAGUAACGCGUGAGAAUUUACCUUUAGGAAGGGAAUAACAAUUAGAAAUGAUUGCUAAUGCCCCAUAUGCUUUAUUAAGUGAAAAGGAUUAUGUCCGCCUGAAGAGAAGCUCGCGUCUGAUUAGCUAGUUGGUGAGGUAAGAGCUUACCAAGGCGACGAUCAGUAGCUGGUUUGAGAGGAUGAUCAGUCACACUGGAACUGAGACACGGUCCAGACUCC
This 226-nucleotide ribosomal RNA is filed under the name uncultured bacterium. Its description in RNAcentral is "partial 16S ribosomal RNA". It matches the Rfam family "Bacterial small subunit ribosomal RNA", at positions 102 to 339 of the family's 1533-position model. The record is from RNAcentral.